Oncorhynchus tshawytscha (Chinook salmon) is the source of this 4359-nucleotide long non-coding RNA. The record is from Ensembl. Lineage: Eukaryota; Metazoa; Chordata; Actinopteri; Salmoniformes; Salmonidae.
CACAAUUUAUAAUGGUUUCAGUAGGCCCAUACUUCAGUCAAUGUAAUAAUGCAUUUAUAUAUCAUGCUGCCAGUUUAAGAAACACCUUCAUUCACACACAUACUGUGAAUAAAUUGUGUAAAAUAAAGUUGUGUACAGUUAAGUGGUUUAACAACCCUUUCUCAGUCUACCUCCCAUUUGUUGGGCUGUAAACAGAUGUAGUUCCCUUGUACACCUGGGAUGUCUUUCAGCUAACCACAGGUGUUACGGAUGUCUGUGCAUUUGAUUAAUUGAACCUCAUUUGAAAUGCCAAUCUCUUUAAGAAUCCCAGAGGCAGUGCCUCCUCUCCCUAGGUCUUUUAUUGUGCAUCUUGUCAUCACUGGGUCUAUAAAAGCGUAGCCCUCUUCACUGCCAACGUCAACAAAAUACUUGACCAUCCCCACUGAGCCAUGUUGGGUGACCACGACAUGGUUUACUCGUUUCCAUAAAGUACUUCCUGUUUUGGGAUGAAUGCGAUUCCCAUUAACGAUCACUCUAUGGUGAAAUUGACAUGGUUCUUCGUAAGUAACGUCUGACUCUCCAAGGAGAAAAGCCUCCCUCGAGGUUUCGUGCAACAGGAUACUGGCCGAGUUUGUAGCCCCUUAUCAUUUCUUCAACAAACCUUUUGCUAGCUUGGUUUGAUUCUAUAGAAUAGCAGGGAGUGUCGGAACUCUGUGGCAAGCAGUCUUUUGUUUAUGUGCUCUAUUUCUCUUCCAAUGUACCAGGACUCAGGGUGAUAUUUGGACUCAAACCACAGUGUAGUCAUUUACUGACACAUGCCAAGUAAGUUGCCCUGCAUGUAAUCAAUAGCAAACCCUGCCAUCAUGUUGAAAACCGUAGGGAACAUUAAAGGAGACGGGCCCUUAACGCCAUGUAUGAUGUUCCCUGACUCUACCACAAAGGCAACCUCUGCGGUGUUUAGUGUCUGUGUGUGGUUCUGGCUCAUGCGAUCACCAAGGCAACCCCUCUGCAGGUGUUUAGUGUCUGUGUGUGGCUCUGGCUCACUCAAGCGGAUACACUCUAGUGAACCCAUGACCCUUUUCUACCACUUCUCCUUUGUGAUAGCACCUGUUACCCAGGAGCUUCUCAAAGGGUGGCUACUUUGAAGAAUCUGAAAUAUAAAAUAUAUUUUGAUAUGUUUAACACUUUUUUUGGUUACUACAUGAUUCCAUAUAUGUUAUGUCAGUUUUGAUGUCUUCACUAUUAUUCUACAAUGUAGAAAAUAGUAAAAAGAAAAGAAAAACCCUUGAAUGAGUAGGUGUGUCCAAACUUUUGACUGACACUGUAUAUUCUGCAGGAUUCCUGCAUGAUCUUUAGUGCAUUACUCCUGUAGGACUUUGUAAGGGACGUAUCUUCUCCAACGUUAUAAUGAAAGUUGAUCUUCAAGGUUUUAUGACAGACUACAACUAUUGGUGUAUUGCCGCCACCUACUGUACAGGUAGUGAACGAAAAAUGAAAAUAUGCAUUGCAGGAAAUCAAAUCAAAGACUUUGUCAAGUGUGCCAAAUACAACAAGUGUAGUAGACCGUACAGUGAAAUGCUUACUUACAGGCCUUAACCAACAGUGCAAUUUUUAAGUAACAAAAAUAGGUAUUAGGUGAACAAUAGAAAAAUAUAUUUUUAAAAAACAAUAAAAAGACAGUGGAAAAUAACAGUGGCUAGGCUAUAUACAGACACCGGUUAGUCGGUCUAAUUGAGGUAGUAUGUACAUGUAGGCAUGGUUAAAGUGACUAUGCAUAUAUGAUAAACAGAGAGUAGCAGUAGCAUAAAAGAGGGGUUGGCGGGUGGUUGGGGGUGAUAAUCCUUCAGUGAUAAUCCAAAUAACAUCCAUACACAGGUUCAGGAAGAUGAAAGUGGUGCCCACAGACAUGACAGCCCUUCUUCUAUCUCCUUGGCAACUUUGCAGAAUAGUUUGUGUUAUUUCUUACAUUAUUAGCCCACAAUGUUUUUUGUGUUAUUCCAUACAGCCGGAAAUAACUUUUGGAUAUCGGAGCGGAAGGUAACUCACGAGGACUGGGAUAUGUUCCUGGUUGCCUCUGAGAAUAAUAUUGACUUAUACACGGACAUGGUGACUGAGUUUGUCAGGAAGUGUAUUGGGGAUGUUGUUCACACUGACUAUUAAAACCUACCCAAACCAGAAACUGUGGAUAGAUGGCAGCAUUCGGGCAAAACUGAAUGCACGAACCCACAGCAUUUAACCAUAGAAAAGUGACUGAGAAUAUGGUUGAAUACAAACAAUGUAGUUAUUCCCUCCGUAAAGCAAUCAAACAGGAAAAAUGUCAGUACAGAGACAAAGUGGAGUCGCAACUCAACGGCUCUGUCACGAGACGUAUGUGGCAGGGUCUACAGACAAUCAUGAAUUACAAAGGGAAAAGACACCGAUGUAUUGCUUUCAGACAAACUAAACACCUUCGCCCGCUUUGAGGAUAACACAGUGCCACCGACGCAGCCCGCUCCCAAGGACUGUGGGCUCUCCUUCUCCAUGGCCGACGUAAGACAUGUUAGCGUGUUAACCCUCGCAAUCCUGCCGGCCCAGAUGGAGCAUGCGCAGACCAGCUGGCUGGAGGGUUUACGGACAUAUUCAAUCUCUCCCUAUCCCAGUCUGCUGUCCCAACUUGCAAGAUGUCCACCAUUGUUCCUAUACCCAAGAAUGCAAAAGUAAAUGACUAUCUCCCCAUUGCACUCACUUCUGUCAUGAUGAAGUGCUUUGAGAGACUAGUCAAGGAUCACCUCCACCUUACUGCCCCAAUAGAGCCACAGACGAUGCAUUCACCAUCGCACCGCACACUGCCCCAUCCCAUCUGGACAAGAGGAAUAGCUAGGUAAGAAUGCUGUUCAUUGACAACAGCUCAGCCUUCAACACCAUAGUGCCCUCCCUGGGCCCUGGGUCUGAACCCCACCCUCUGCAACUGGACUUUCAGAUGGGCUGCCCCCCCAGGUGGUGAAGGCAGGAAACAACACCUCCAUUAUGCUGAUCCUCAACACAGGGCCCCACAAGGGUGCGUGCUCAGCCCCGUCCUGUGCUCUCUGUUCACCCAUAACUGCAUGGCCACGCACGCCUCCAACUCAAUCAUCAAGUUUGCAGACGACACAACAGUAGUAGGCCUGAUUACCAACAAUGACAAGACAGCCUACAGGGAGGAGGUGAGGUCCCUGGCAGAGUGGUACCAGGAAAAUAAACUCUCACUCAACAUCAACAAAACGAAGGAGCUGAUCGUGGACUUUAGGAGACAGCAGAGGGAGCCUAUCCACAUUGAUGGGACCGCAGUGGAGAAGGUGAAAAGUUUCAAGUUCCUCGGUGUACACAUCACUGACAAUCUGAAAUGGUCCACCCACACAUACAGUGCAGUGAGAAGGUGCAACAGCACCUCUUCAACCUCAGGAGGCUGAAGAAAUUUGGCAUGGCCCCUAAGACCCUCACAAACUUUUAAAGAUGUGCAAUUUAAAGCGUCAUGUCAGGCUGUUUCACCGCCUGGUAUGGCAACUGCACCGCCCGCAACUGCAGGGCUCUCCAGAGGGUGGUGCUGUCUGCCCAACACAUCAUUGGGGGCACACUGCCUUCCAUCCAGGACAUCUUCAGCACCCGAUGUCACAGGAAGGCCAAAAACCACCCGAGCCAAUACCUGUUCAUCCAGAAGGUGAGGUCAGUACAGGUGCAUCAAAACUGAAACUGAGAAACAGCUUCCAUCUCCAGGCCAACAGACUUAAAUAGCCACCACUAGCCGGCUACCACCCGGUUACUCAAACCUGCACCUUAGAGGCUGCUGCCCUGUGUACAUAAACAUAGAAUCACUGGUCACUUUAUUGAAGUGACUAGUGUUCCAUUAUUAAUGUUUACAUACUGCUUUACUCAUUUCAUAUGUAUAUACUGUAUUGUAGUCAAUGCCAUUCCAACAUUGCUCAUCCUAAUAUUUAUAUAUUUUUAAAUUCCAUUUACAGAUUUGAUCAGGUAUGAAGGUAAGACCCAGAUGCAGACAACAUCAAAUUAACAAUGGUUUAAUAAUUCAACAGGGGCAGGCAAUAGACAGGUCAAGGCAGGCAGGGGUCAGUAACUAGAGGUGGAGCAACGGUACAGGACGGCAGGCAGGCUCAGGGUAGGUAGAGGUCAAUAAUCCAGAGGUGGGGCAAAGGUACUGGACGGCAGGCAGGCUCAGGGUCAGGGUAGGUAGAGGUCAAUAAUCCAGAGGUGGGGCAAAGGUACUGGACGGCAGGCAGGCUCAGUGUCAGGGUAGGUAGAGGUCAAUAAUCCAGAGGUGGGGCAAAGGUACAGGAGGGUGAGAAAAGAGAGAGACUGGGGGAAGCAGGAGCUGAGACACAAAAAUGCUGGUUGACUUGACAAACA